GUGAGUGGGUGGGUGGCUUCCCAGCCUUUUAAGGCUGGAGGAAACUCCGCUCACAUGGUGGACCCGUAACACCGUAAGGUGUAGGGUGAGAACCCUAACCCAACACAGAAACGGAACGUCCAGCAGAAAAAUGAUGAUGGGGUGUUUAACCCACCGAAGAUUCUGCUGGAAACGUUGAAACGGUUGGGUACGGGGUGCAAGGACAAAUAGGCAUCGAUGAAGCUCCACCCUGAGAUGCGGGUAGUCCGCUUAGCCGUAUGCCACCUAAAACAGAAAGCGGGUUACAACCCACACAC
This 296-nucleotide RNase P RNA is filed under the name Nitrososphaerota archaeon. RNAcentral's name for it is "Thaumarchaeota archaeon RNase P RNA component". It matches the Rfam family "Archaeal RNase P". Rfam says of the family: Ribonuclease P (RNase P) is a ubiquitous endoribonuclease, found in archaea, bacteria and eukarya as well as chloroplasts and mitochondria. Lineage: Archaea; Thermoproteati; Nitrososphaerota. The record is from RNAcentral.